RNAcentral lists this long non-coding RNA (246 nucleotides) under Lathyrus oleraceus (garden pea). RNAcentral describes it as "Pisum sativum (pea) long non-coding RNA (PSAT_LNC024335)". Lineage: Eukaryota; Viridiplantae; Streptophyta; Magnoliopsida; Fabales; Fabaceae. The record is from RNAcentral.
AGCAAUCCAAUGAGGUUCAGGAAGCCCCAAUUUGUGUAUGGUUCCCCUCAUACGCGUAUGUGGGCCCUGAAUUGCAAAACAAAACCCGGUUUGACAAAUUUAAAGCCAGAAAAUGAUUUUUUGAGGUUGAGACUUGACUUUGACGGCAAAAAAAAAAUGUAGAAGGCUUGAAAACUCAGAUUUUCAGGGUGGAUCAAGAUUUUCAUGAGCUUUAAGUGAUUGAAGACUUAUAUCAUCUAUAGAUUU